This is a long non-coding RNA of Equus caballus (horse), 856 nucleotides long. RefSeq lists it as uncharacterized. The record is from RefSeq and is a predicted model, not a curated record. Lineage: Eukaryota; Metazoa; Chordata; Mammalia; Perissodactyla; Equidae.
GCCUGCGCUCCCCCGGGGCUCCGGCGCCGGCUGCGUCCCCAGCCCUCUCUGCCCUGGGACCCUCCUUGCUUUCUGAGGCCCCAGAGACAGUGCCAGGAGCUGGGGAGGGGGAUCCCCGCGGAGAUGCCUUCCACGUCCUGUGACCGAGCUCUGGAGGACGCUGGGACCUCGUCUGCUCUGCUGCUGUCUCUCGUUUCAUGUGAGUCCUUUAUGUGGCAGUUCCUCUGAAUGUGUGACAGCACACACAAAGUAUAAUCAGUACUGAAUCUCCUUUGACUCGAUAUCUAAUAAGAGCACAGCCAUGUUUCGUGGAGUAUUUGGAGAAUGCCACAGAAGGGCUGGAGAGGUGCCCCGCCGCCACGCCCGGCCAGCUCCCCGCUAGAGGGCGCCCUAACUGUCCCCUUCUGGAGCCGACCAUUAAUCAGAAAGGGGCCGCUGUGGGUCUCCGGAGCACAACUGAGUGGAACUCGGGGUCCAGGAGCUGCACUUAGAACUUCCUCCAGAGACCCAUAGUCUCCGUCACCCUCACAUUUCUAAAGAACUACGUCCAGGACUCUUAGCACAAGCUUGCCACUCCUCAUACCACAUAUAACCAUGCAAAAGGCCACCUUAAAAGGGUUUCAGUAAGUUAGUCUUCCAAAAAUAUUAGCCAGAUGACCAUUCGCUUUGCAGCCAGCUUCCCUUUCCCUCAGCUAGUAAGUCAAACAAAACUCCUACUCCGAAUUAUUAGCCUGGCAAUUGUUCCAGCUGGCCCUUGGCAACCAGGUGUUCAAUAAUGCUUUCUUUGUUUUCCAAUCUUCAGUGAAUUAUAGGUAUAAAGAGAUGUCUGCUUACAUAUUAAAUGUUUUUAAUGUCA